RNAcentral lists this ribosomal RNA (246 nucleotides) under uncultured bacterium. Its description in RNAcentral is "partial 16S ribosomal RNA". It matches the Rfam family "Bacterial small subunit ribosomal RNA", at positions 524 to 770 of the family's 1533-position model. The record is from RNAcentral.
UACGAAGGGGGCUAGCGUUGCUCGGAAUCACUGGGCGUAAAGCGCACGUAGGCGGCUUUUUAAGUCAGGGGUGAAAUCCUGGAGCUCAACUCCAGAACUGCCUUUGAUACUGAGAGCUUGAGUCCGGGAGAGGUGAGUGGAACUGCGAGUGUAGAGGUGAAAUUCGUAGAUAUUCGCAAGAACACCAGUGGCGAAGGCGGCUCACUGGCCCGGUACUGACGCUGAGGUGCGAAAGCGUGGGGAGCA